CGCCGCGUGAGGGAUGACGGCCUUCGGGUUGUAAACCUCUUUCAGCAGGGACGAAGCGCAAGUGACGGUACCUGCAGAAGAAGCACCGGCCAACUACGUGCCAGCAGCCGCGGUAAUACGUAGGGUGCGAGCGUUGUCCGGAAUUAUUGGGCGUAAAGGGCUCGUAGGCGGUUUGUCGCGUCGGGAGUGAAAACCAGGUGCUUAACACCUGGCUUGCUUUCGAUACGGGCAGACUAGAGGUAUUCAGGGGAGAACGGAAUUCCUGGUGUAGCGGUGAAAUGCGCAGAUAUCAGGAGGAACACCGGUGGCGAAGGCGGUUCUCUGGGAAUAUCCUGACGCUGAGGAGCGAAAGUGUGGGGAGCGAACAGGAUUAGAUACCCUGGUAGUCCACACCGUAAACGUUGGGCGCUAGGUGUGGGGUCCAUUCCACGGAUUCCGUGCCGCAGCUAACGCAUUAAGCGCCCCGCCUGGGGAGUACGGCCGCAAGGCUAAAACUCAAAGGAAUUGACGGGGGCCCGCACAAGCGGCGGAGCAUGCGGAUUAAUUCGAUGCAACGCGAAGAACCUUACCUGGGUUUGACAUACACC
Molecule: ribosomal RNA, 587 nt
Filed under: Nocardioides sp. CC-FR2-12
Lineage: Bacteria; Bacillati; Actinomycetota; Actinomycetes; Propionibacteriales; Nocardioidaceae
Description: bacterial SSU rRNA
Rfam family: Bacterial small subunit ribosomal RNA
Source: RNAcentral